RNAcentral lists this ribosomal RNA (207 nucleotides) under uncultured bacterium. Its description in RNAcentral is "partial 16S ribosomal RNA". It matches the Rfam family "Bacterial small subunit ribosomal RNA", at positions 568 to 774 of the family's 1533-position model. The record is from RNAcentral.
CGCGUAGGUGGUUGCGUAAGUAACGUGUGAAAUACCUCGGCUUACCCGGGGAAUUGCAUGUUAUACUGCGUGGCUUGAGGAUCACAGGGGAAAGCGGAACUCCAGGUGUAGCGGUGAAAUGCGCAGAUAUCUGGGGGAAGGCCGGCGGCGAAGGCGGCUUUCUGGGUGAUUCCUGACACUGAGGCGCGAAAGCGUGGGGAGCAAACA